UAGAGACAAGGACAUGGAGCAAUGGAUGCAAGCUACAGGAAAAGAGAUUCCAACUAAGCAUUAGGAAGAACUUCCUGCAGCGCAUCAUUUCUUCUCCGGAAAAGUCCAAAUCAAGGGACUCAAGGCAGCAAGUUGCCCUGCUCCGUACCAUCGUCUAAUGAUUUCACAUUCACCGAACCAUCCGAAAGCAAAGGCGUCACUCCCUCAGCCACCCGUGGACAAAGUUUGGGAAUAUUUGGGAUUUCCAAAUGCUGGAUAAAGGAGGCUCAAGCUGUAAAUACUUAAACUGUAUUUUUAAAAGUGGGUUAAUUGCCAAACUGGAGGGUGUCGGAGUUUCCUUCUUUGAAGCAGAGGUU
Long non-coding RNA from Sceloporus undulatus (fence lizard), 356 nucleotides. RefSeq lists it as uncharacterized. NCBI's taxonomy places the organism in Eukaryota, Metazoa, Chordata, Lepidosauria, Squamata, Phrynosomatidae. The record is from RefSeq and is a predicted model, not a curated record. The transcript is spliced from 3 exons.